UGGGGAAUAUUGCACAAUGGGCGAAAGCCUGAUGCAGCGACGCCGCGUGAGUGAAGAAGUAUUUCGGUAUGUAAAGCUCUAUCAGCAGGGAAGAAAAUGACGGUACCUGACUAAGAAGCCCCGGCUAACUACGUGCCAGCAGCCGCGGUAAUACGUAGGGGGCAAGCGUUAUCCGGAUUUACUGGGUGUAAAGGGAGCGUAGACGGCGAAGCAAGUCUGAAGUGAAAACCCAGGGCUCAACCCUGGGACUGCUUUGGAAACUGUUUUGCUAGAGUGUCGGAGAGGUAAGUGGAAUUCCUAGUGUAGCGGUGAAAUGCGUAGAUAUUAGGAGGAACACCAGUGGCGAAGGCGGCUUACUGGACGAUAACUGACGUUGAGGCUCGAAAGCGUGAGGAGCAAACAGG
RNAcentral lists this ribosomal RNA (404 nucleotides) under Fusobacteriota bacterium. RNAcentral describes it as "Fusobacteria bacterium partial 16S ribosomal RNA". It matches the Rfam family "Bacterial small subunit ribosomal RNA", at positions 355 to 776 of the family's 1533-position model. Lineage: Bacteria; Fusobacteriati; Fusobacteriota. The record is from RNAcentral.